AUUGGCACGGGGGGCCUACGGGAGGCAGCAGUAGGGAAUCUUCCGCAAUGGGCGAAAGCCUGACGGAGCAACGCCGCGUGAGUGAUGAAGGUCUUCGGAUCGUAAAACUCUGUUGUUAGAGAAGAACACGAGUGAGAGUAACUGUUCAUUCGAUGACGGUAUCUAACCAGCAAGUCACGGCUAACUACGUGCCAGCAGCCGCGGUAAUAAUC
RNAcentral lists this ribosomal RNA (212 nucleotides) under uncultured soil bacterium. RNAcentral's name for it is "partial 16S ribosomal RNA". It matches the Rfam family "Bacterial small subunit ribosomal RNA", at positions 324 to 526 of the family's 1533-position model. The record is from RNAcentral.